This 486-nucleotide ribosomal RNA is filed under the name Salmonella enterica. RNAcentral's name for it is "bacterial SSU rRNA". It matches the Rfam family "Bacterial small subunit ribosomal RNA", at positions 1 to 476 of the family's 1533-position model. Lineage: Bacteria; Pseudomonadati; Pseudomonadota; Gammaproteobacteria; Enterobacterales; Enterobacteriaceae. The record is from RNAcentral.
AAAUUGAAGAGUUUGAUCAUGGCUCAGAUUGAACGCUGGCGGCAGGCCUAACACAUGCAAGUCGAACGGUAACAGGAAGCAGCUUGCUGCUUCGCUGACGAGUGGCGGACGGGUGAGUAAUGUCUGGGAAACUGCCUGAUGGAGGGGGAUAACUACUGGAAACGGUGGCUAAUACCGCAUAACGUCGCAAGACCAAAGAGGGGGACCUUCGGGCCUCUUGCCAUCAGAUGUGCCCAGAUGGGAUUAGCUUGUUGGUGAGGUAACGGCUCACCAAGGCGACGAUCCCUAGCUGGUCUGAGAGGAUGACCAGCCACACUGGAACUGAGACACGGCCCAGACUCCUACGGGAGGCAGCAGUGGGGAAUAUUGCACAAUGGGCGCAAGCCUGAUGCAGCCAUGCCGCGUGUAUGAAGAAGGCCUUCGGGUUGUAAAGUACUUUCAGCGGGGAGGAAGGUGUUGUGGUUAAUAACCGCAGCAAUUGACGUU